CCUACGGGUGGCAGCAGUGAGGGAUAUUGGACAAUGGGGGAAAGCCUGAACCAGCGAAGCAGCGUGGGUGAAGACGCGCCUAUGCGCGUUAAGCUCUGUCAGCAGGGGAGUAAAUGACGGUACGUGUAGAAGAAGCCCCGGCUAACUACGUGCCAGCAGCCGCGGUAACACGCAGGGGGCCGCAGUUAUACGGAUUUACUGGGUGUUAAGGGGGCGCAGACGGCGAUGCAGGCCAGGUGUGAAAGCCCGGGGCCCAACCCCGGGAUUGCUGUUGAAACUGCGUGUCUGGAGUGCAGUAGGGGCAGGCGGAAUUCCUGGUGUAGCGGUGAAAUGCGUAGAUAUCAGGAGGAACACCGGUGGCGAAGGCGGCCUGCUGGACUGCAACUGACGUUGAGGCCCGAAAGCGUGGGGAGCAAACAGGAUUAGAUACCCGAGUAGUC
This 440-nucleotide ribosomal RNA is filed under the name uncultured bacterium. RNAcentral describes it as "partial 16S ribosomal RNA". It matches the Rfam family "Bacterial small subunit ribosomal RNA", at positions 338 to 795 of the family's 1533-position model. The record is from RNAcentral.